GAUGAACGCUGGCGGCGUGCCUAAUACAUGCAAGUCGAGCGAACGGACGAGAAGCUUGCUUUUCUGAUGUUAGCGGCGGACGGGUGAGUAACACGUGGAUAACCUACCUAUAAGACUGGGAUAACUUCGGGAAACCGGAGCUAAUACCGGAUAAUAUUUUGAACCGCAUGGUUCAAAAGUGAAAGACGGUCUUGCUGUCACUUAUAGAUGGAUCCGCGCUGCAUUAGCUAGUUGGUAAGGUAACGGCUUACCAAGGCAACGAUGCAUAGCCGACCUGAGAGGGUGAUCAGCCACACUGGAACUGAGACACGGUCCAGACUCCUACGGGAGGCAGCAGUAGGGAAUCUUCCGCAAUGGGCGAAAGCCUGACGGAGCAACGCCGCGUGAGUGAUGAAGGUCUUCGGAUCGUAAAACGCUGUUAUUAGGGAAGAACAUAUGUGUAAGUAACUGUGCACAUCUUGACGGUACCUAAUCAGAAAGCCACGGCUAACUACGUG
This 497-nucleotide ribosomal RNA is filed under the name uncultured bacterium. RNAcentral's name for it is "partial 16S ribosomal RNA". It matches the Rfam family "Bacterial small subunit ribosomal RNA", at positions 28 to 507 of the family's 1533-position model. The record is from RNAcentral.